GCGGCGCCAAGGCCGAGUCCGCCCGGGCCCGUCGGGGCCGAGCGGAGCCGGGGACCCACGUUCCACGGGGUGAAUCGGUGCGCUUCCAGCACGCCGUAGGGCUCUUCCAUGCCCGAAUCCGACAGCUAACCCGGUAGGCCCAAUGGGAGACAAG
RNAcentral lists this small RNA (154 nucleotides) under Actinomadura sp. RNAcentral describes it as "c-di-AMP sequence". It matches the Rfam family "c-di-AMP riboswitch aptamer (ydaO/yuaA leader)". From Rfam's summary of the family: This family represents a conserved RNA structure found upstream of the ydaO and yuaA genes in Bacillus subtilis and related genes in other bacteria. The ydaO/yuaA element is thought to act as a genetic "off" switch for the ydaO and yuaA genes in its native state. It is believed that the element may be triggered during osmotic shock leading to activation of ydaO, a predicted amino acid transporter gene, and members of the yuaA-yubG operon which code for KtrA and KtrB K+ transporters. Lineage: Bacteria; Bacillati; Actinomycetota; Actinomycetes; Streptosporangiales; Thermomonosporaceae. The record is from RNAcentral.